RNAcentral lists this transfer RNA (41 nucleotides) under Bisetocreagris titanium. RNAcentral's name for it is "tRNA-Gln". The record is from RNAcentral. Lineage: Eukaryota; Metazoa; Arthropoda; Arachnida; Pseudoscorpiones; Neobisiidae.
UUUGAUUUAAAAGAAAUUUGAAUUCUUAUGAAUAAUCAAAU